AUUGAACGCUGGCGGCAUGCCUUACACAUGCAAGUCGAACGGUAACAGGUUAAGCUUACGCGUGGCGCACGGGCGAGUAAUGUAUCGGAACGUGCCCAGUCGCGUGGGUUAACUGCUCGAAAGAGCAGCUAAUACCGCAUCCGACCUGAGGUUGUAUGCUGGGGAUCGCAAGUCCUUGCUCGAUUGGAGCGGUCGAUAUCCGAUUAGGUAGUUGGUCAGGUAAAGGCUCACCAAGCCGACGAUCUGUAGCUGGUCUGAGAGGUCGAUCAGCCACACUGGAACUGAGACACGGCCCAGACUCCUACGGGAGGCAGCAGUAGGGAAUUUUGGACAAUGGGCGCAAGCCUGAUCCAGCCAUGCCGCGUGAGGGAAGAAGGCCUUCGGGUUGUAAACCGCUUUUGUCAGGGAAGAAAAGGUUCUGGCUAAUACCUGGGACUCAUGACGGUACCUGAAGAAUAAGCAACGGCUAACUACGUG
This 477-nucleotide ribosomal RNA is filed under the name uncultured bacterium. Its description in RNAcentral is "partial 16S ribosomal RNA". It matches the Rfam family "Bacterial small subunit ribosomal RNA", at positions 30 to 507 of the family's 1533-position model. The record is from RNAcentral.